Molecule: ribosomal RNA, 463 nt
Filed under: uncultured bacterium
Lineage: Bacteria
Description: bacterial SSU rRNA
Rfam family: Bacterial small subunit ribosomal RNA
Source: RNAcentral
GGGCCCGCACAAGCGGAGGAACAUGUGGUUUAAUUCGAUGAUACGCGAGGAACCUUACCCGGGCUUAAAUUGCAUUUGAAUAUAGUUGAAAGAUUAUAGCCGCAAGGCAAAUGUGAAGGUGCUGCAUGGUUGUCGUCAGCUCGUGCCGUGAGGUGUCGGCUUAAGUGCCAUAACGAGCGCAACCCUUAUCUUUAGUUACUAACAGGUGAUGCUGAGGACUCUAGAGAGACUGCCGUCGUAAGAUGCGAGGAAGGUGGGGAUGACGUCAAAUCAGCACGGCCCUUACGUCCGGGGCUACACACGUGUUACAAUGGGGGGUACAGAAGGCAGCUACACAGCGAUGUGAUGCUAAUCCCGAAAGCCUCUCUCAGUUCGGAUUGGAGUCUGCAACUCGACUCCAUGAAGCUGGAUUCGCUAGUAAUCGCGCAUCAGCCACGGCGCGGUGAAUACGUUCCCGGGCCUU